AGUAACGGCGAGCGAACCGGGAACAGCCCAAGNCUUAGAAAUCGGGCGGCUCCGNCCGUCCGAAUUGUAGCCUGGAGAAGCGUCCUCAGCGGCGGACCGGGCCCAAGUCCCCUGGNAAUGGGGCCACCGGAGAGGGUGACAGU
This 143-nucleotide ribosomal RNA is filed under the name uncultured fungus. RNAcentral describes it as "partial 26S ribosomal RNA". Lineage: Eukaryota; Fungi. The record is from RNAcentral.